AUCCAGACUCCUACGGGAGGCAGCAGUGGGGGAUAUUGCACAAUGGGGGGAACCCUGAUGCAGCGACGCCGCGUGGGUGAAGGAGCGUUUCGGCGCGUAAAGCCCUAUCGGCAGGGAAGAAGGAGGACGGUACCUGACUAAGAAGCCCCGGCUAACUACGUGCCAGCAGCCGCGGGAAUACGUAGGGGGCAAGCGUUAUCCGGAAUGACUGGGUGUAAAGGGAGCGUAGACGGUUGUACAAGUCUGAUGUGAAAGCCCACGGCUCAACUGUGGGAGUGCAUUGGAAACUGUAGAACUAGAGUAUCGGAGAGGCAAGUGGAAUUCCUAGUGUAGCGGUGAAAUGCGUAGAUAUUAGGAGGAACACCAGUGGCGAAGGCGGCUUGCUGGACGAAAACUGACGUUGAGGCUCGAAAGCGUGGGGAGCAAACAGGAUUAGAUACCCCAGUAC
Molecule: ribosomal RNA, 448 nt
Filed under: uncultured bacterium
Lineage: Bacteria
Description: bacterial SSU rRNA
Rfam family: Bacterial small subunit ribosomal RNA
Source: RNAcentral